GUCUACAGCCAUGCCACCCUGAACAAGCCUGAUCCCGUCUGAUCUUGGAAGCUCAGCAGGGUCGGGCCUGGUUAGUACUUAGAAGGGAGACCACCUAAGAAGACCAGGUGCUGUAGGAG
This 119-nucleotide ribosomal RNA is filed under the name Pteropus alecto (black flying fox). The record is from RNAcentral. Lineage: Eukaryota; Metazoa; Chordata; Mammalia; Chiroptera; Pteropodidae.